RNA transcript from Lates calcarifer (barramundi perch), 2524 nucleotides. RefSeq lists it as uncharacterized. NCBI's taxonomy places the organism in Eukaryota, Metazoa, Chordata, Actinopteri, Centropomidae. The transcript has 6 exons. The record is from RefSeq and is a predicted model, not a curated record.
AAGCAGCGGAGGAGAUGUGGGGGAGGACCAUGGUGGCCGCCUCAUUUGCAUAUUGGGCGCCUGUUCUACGCAUGCAGCGACGUUUUACCAAUCAGCUCGACGUAUGUAGCAAGCCACGCCCGCGCGGCAACUCGUGUCGCGCGCUUCAUCACCAGCAUUGUAUAGGCGGUGGAACAGACAAAAGUUAGUUAGGCGCUCUUUACCUCCACUUAGGCAGCAAUAGUGCAGGGAGUUUAUGUGGUUAAAUUCAAGCAGGGUAGUUUUUGUAGUGGAUAUUAGCGAGCUCGGAAACUGCACUGACGCUCUUGAAGAAGCUGCAAACAGUGGAGUCCCCCAGCUGAAGCUAAUCACCGCCGCGGUAAAGUUAUUGUUGGGCACCCCGUGGGGUUUAAAGUUCAGCUAACAGUAGCGUCACUGGCUACUAGCAGGUAGUUAGCUCCCGUAUCUCAACCGACUACUUUGGUUACAAUGGCAGCUGUGUGCCAGCCACGACGUGCCUUGGUGGAAAUACCUGCUCCACAGCCUAAAAUUGCAGCUCGGAUGAGGAGGUCCUACUUAGAAAUUUUAAGUGGUCGUUUGGCUCCAAAUCCGCUUCCAAGGGGGAGAAAUACAGCCUCAAACACGAAGCGUGUGCAGCCAUUGGACUUGCCCAUUGGCGGGGUGUGGAGCGGGAGAAUAGAGGAGCAGUGUGAGAAGAUGGACGAGCACCAUACCCCGCUCUCCAAACAGCAGCUUGUCCAGCUAAUCAGAUCCCUCAUCUUGGUUGAGCAGAGCCAAGAGCCCAGGAACCUGGCCUCAGACUUGAAGUAUCUCCAGGAAGACUUGCAGCUAAAGAAGGCAAAUGUCUAUAGGUCCAUACCUUACUCACGGUUUGGCUCCAACAGGGACGCUCACUGCUACAGAAAGGCAUAUCCUCACCUGGUGGCAUUCAAAGUUUCAUGUCAGGAGUGGGGCCAAGUUCUUCUGAGGAACAAAGAGUGGGACGCCUGUGUUGGAGCACACGCUGAUGGCGUGGCGCUACACCAGCGAGUUGCCACAGUGGGAUACAGCGAGUCACAACGCUCUCAGAGAACAGUGUUACAGCAUUCUGGCAGCUCACAGCCUCUCUGCUCUCCAGCACUACCACCCAGAACCAAACAGAGGACGCGAGCUGCUCAGAAGGUAACACCUCAGGAUUUAAAGACAUAUGAACACCUCACAUACAGUUACUGUGCUAUCAUGUGCACUAAUUAUAUAUCCAUUAUUAUGAGAUUAACUUAAUACUGCACAUAAUAUAAAAUCUUAGUCUUAGAACGUCAGUUUCGCUUUUGACUAUGGCUUUCUUCAUGCAUUUGAAAGGUCACAGCGUGGAGCAGAUACUUCUAGGUAUUUCUGGUAUUCCAGAAAGUUAUAAAGAUGUUUCCUGCAAGUUUACCACCUCCUUCUGAACAGUAACCUGAAACAAAAUGGGUCAACUGGAGUUACUGAUGAACAAGAGCCCACAGCGAACCUCACUCUACGUGAAUCAUUACUUCUAGUCUGCGUUAAGUGCUACAUAUUCACAGUUCAAGCUGUGACACACAAUCGAUUUACUGCGCUCGCCUUGCCGCUUGUGUUAGCAACCAAUUGCCAACUUAAAUAUGCAUCUGAAGCAAAGCAGCAUGGGCGUCCUACUGGAGUCCUGUCUCGCGACCUGCUGAGUGUUGAAGAUGGCUCAGCUGCACAGCCAGUCAAUUGUUCCCUGUAUUCAGGAGUUGCAGAGGAUUAUGGGAUGUGCAGAUGACUCCUCCAUGGAUACAAAAUAACAUGAUAAACACUAUCUAACAAGGCAGCUGAACCCAAGUGAAAAGUGUGCUUCAUAAAUGACCUAAAUGAUUUAUGUGUGGUACAGGGCCAAAAAACAUUUAACGUGGUAGUGUUUGUUUGUAAAACCACUACAGUAUUUUUCCAAAGGGCAGGGUAACAUCUGCAAAUGAAAUGCCAGAGUGAAAGAGUCCGAUAAUGCAGGUUUAACAAGGUAAAUAAAACCACCUCCUAAAUGGUUGAAAAUGCAAUAAAACCUCUUAUUUAAUCUCAUUGCAUUUUUACAUCAACUGGAAAGCUUAAUGUAACGAUGAGUGUAACAUUUGUUGCAUCACUUGUCGUAAUGUAUUCAUCAUAGGUUAAUGUCACAUUACGUCCAAGUUGCCUAUGACCCUAUUACAAAGGCAUAUUUUCUUUUUAGACAAGCAUUCACACUGUGAGAAAUGUUCAGUUCAGUAUAAUUCAGAUGUUUGUAUAUUUUUAGACAUUUGUAUAGAAUAACAUUUGAAAUGUAAAAAGUCUGAAAUGGCCUUUGCUGUUGCUUUGUAUGGGUGUGUAUAUAUUAUCCUUAGUACUGUUCACAAUACUUGAAACUAUGGCCUUUGCCAUCUUUGUAGUUGUGUUUAUAUAUGUAUGUCUUCUAUAUAGAGCAUUGUCUGUGUCACUGAUUGCACUGUUGUGGUUUGUCCUGAAAACUUGAAAAAUUUUGAUAAAAUAAUUUAAUUAAAGUUAUGACUUUGUA